GGAGGUUGCGCUCCUCGACGGUGAGCUCGGUGCCGUCUGCGGCGGCGGAGAGCUUCUCCAUGAAUUCGACCAUCUCUUCGUACCUCUCGGCUUGCUCGGAGAGCUUGGCCAUGUAUACGUAGUCCUCGCGCGAUGAAACUGCCAUUGUGAUAUCGCAGAUCGGAGAGUUUGUUUGUUAGUUUGUUUGAUUCGGUUUAUCUCUCUCUGUGUAGGUUAAAAGAGAGGAGAAGAAGGAGGAGGCGAAAGGAGUGGGGAGCGACAAACUGCGUUUUGAUGAUGAAAAGCGAGAGAGAGAGAUAAAAGAUGGAAUCUG
This 313-nucleotide long non-coding RNA is filed under the name Brassica rapa (field mustard). Its description in RNAcentral is "long non-coding RNA (BRAP_LNC006131)". Lineage: Eukaryota; Viridiplantae; Streptophyta; Magnoliopsida; Brassicales; Brassicaceae. The record is from RNAcentral.